AUUGAACGCUGGCGGCAUGCCUAACACAUGCAAGUCGAACGGCAGCACGGGGGCAACCCUGGCGGCGAGUGGCGAACGGGUGAGUAAUGUAUCGGAAUGUAUCCUGUAAUGGGGGAUAACCAGUCGAAAGAUUGGGUAAUACCGCAUACGCACGAGAGUGGAAAGUAGGGGAUCGCAAGACCUUACGUUAUAGGAGCGGCCGAUAUCUGAUUAGCUAGUUGGUGGGGUAAAGGCCUACCAAGGCGACGAUCAGUAGCUGGUCUGAGAGGACGACCAGCCACACUGGGACUGAGACACGGCCCAGACUCCUACGGGAGGCAGCAGUGGGGAAUUUUGGACAAUGGGCGAAAGCCUGAUCCAGCCAUGCCGCGUGCAGGAUGAAGGCCUUCGGGUUGUAAACUGCUUUUGUACGGAACGAAACGGCGAGCUCUAAUACAGUUUGCUAAUGACGGUACCGUAAGAAUAAGCACCGGCUAACUACGUG
Molecule: ribosomal RNA, 484 nt
Filed under: uncultured bacterium
Lineage: Bacteria
Description: bacterial SSU rRNA
Rfam family: Bacterial small subunit ribosomal RNA
Source: RNAcentral